This 339-nucleotide unclassified non-coding RNA is filed under the name soil metagenome. RNAcentral's name for it is "partial contains 5.8S ribosomal RNA, internal transcribed spacer 2, and large subunit ribosomal RNA". The stretch from base 1 to 120 matches the Rfam family "5.8S ribosomal RNA", at positions 35 to 154 of the family's 154-position model. The record is from RNAcentral.
GAUGAAGAACGUAGCGAAAUGCGAUAAGUAGUGUGAAUUGCAGAAUUCAGUGAAUCAUCGAAUCUUUGAACGCACAUUGCACCUCUCAGUAUUCCGGGAGGUAUGCCUGUUCGAGCGUCAUUUGUACCCUCAAGCUCUGCUUGGUGUUGGGUGUUUGUUCCGCCUCUGUGUGUGAACUCGCCUCAAAACAAUUGGCAGCCGGCGUACUUGUUUCGGAGCGCAGCACAUUUUGCGAUCCAGAUCAACGUACAGCGGCAUCCAAGAAGCCUUAUUUAACGCUCUUGACCUCGGAUCAGGUAGGGAUACCCGCUGAACUUAAGCAUAUCAAUAAGCGGAGGA